Molecule: long non-coding RNA, 2098 nt
Filed under: Oncorhynchus kisutch (coho salmon)
Lineage: Eukaryota; Metazoa; Chordata; Actinopteri; Salmoniformes; Salmonidae
Description: lncRNA (ENSOKIG00005046616.1)
Source: RNAcentral
UGAGACUGUGUAGGGAUGUGAUUUGAAUAGGACUGUGACUGAACGAGUGGGAUGUUGUUAUUUAUCUAUUUAUGUAUUUGGUUUUGAGGUCGUUGUUCCCCCUCCCCUUUUCCGCAAAGGAAAUGUAUUUUCUUCUACAGUUUACUAACCUUACAGUAGGUGGCUGCAGACAGGUUAUAGUUGUGCAAAUGUCAGUACACCAGAGAACAAGAUGACGCUGCUGCACUGUCCAAGUGGGGAACAGGAAGUUCCGGGUCGAAACGACAGAACGGUGCUGUUGUGUCGAUAGUGGUUGUGUCCGUUUCAAAUGUAUCAUAGCAGACCGACUCAGAUUAAGUCUGAGGCCAGUAACAUCAACAGUGAGGACAAACACAGCCUGCCUCUCUCCUUCCACACUGAGUAGAAACCUACAGUCACUGGGUCCUGAUUGUGACAGUGGAGCCCAGUUUGCUCUGCAGGAUCCAGAGAUGGCAUCCGUGAAGCUGGAAGACUGCAGUCAAACACUGGAGCUGAAUGUCAACCUUAAAGAUGAAGAAGAGGAGAAGAUUAGGACAACUGUUAGUCAUGGUAAGAGCUGUUUCUAUCUAUAAGUUAUCUUCAUAUAUUAGACCUCCAUAAGUUAUGACCAGUCUAUUGCUAGGUUGAAUUCUGUAAUUCUGACAUCUCACAUCCCUGAACAACUCAAGACUUCACAGUGAAGCAAAAACACUUUAAACUUGUAACGCCUGCCUUUGCCCACACAUUGUCUCAAGAACGUUGAAAAUGUUUAAUACCCUCAAUCAGCAAGUUAGGCAUACCUCAUUUCAAAAUAGGCCAUGGCAUCAUCACUGUCAAUAUUGAAUUUUGAUUUGUUUGCUGCACAGAAUAUCAGAUCUCAACAACGAUUGGAGAAGUGUUGAACAUAACCAGUAGACUACCACAUCCUGGUGAUUUAUAUCUGAUACAUAUAUAUUUAAUAUGUCAAGUUGUAGAAACAUAUCAAGGAUGAUCAAUGGAAACAGGAUGCACCUGAGUUCAAUUCAAAAGUUUGGGGUCACUUAACACCAGUCUCAACGUCAACAGUGAAGAAGCGACUCCGGGAUGCUGGCCUUCUAGGCAGAGUUGUAAAGGCCAGUUUUAUUGCUUCUUUAGUCUGAACCACAGUUGAACGUCAUGCGUCCUCCUAUACACAACCCAAACAAGCCGCACUGCUUCUUAACACAGAGUCUCUUGUGGCACAGCUGGCGCUGCAGUACAGCGCCCUUAACCACUGCCUUUUAAAAUGAUCAACUUGGAUUAGCUAACACAACGUGCCAUUGGAUCACAGGAGUGAUGGUUGCUGAUAAUGGGCCUCUGUACACCUAUGUAGAUAUUCCAUAAAAUAUCUGCCGUUUCCAGCUACAAUAGUCAUUUACAACAAUAACAAUGUCUUCACUGUAUUUCUGAUCAAUUUUAUGUUAUUUUAAUGGACAAACAAUGUGCUUUUCUUUCAAAACAAGGACAUUUCUAAGUGACCCCAAACAUUUGAACAGUAGUGGAUAUUUAAUAUUUUGUAUAUAUCAAGUUGUAGAAAUAUCUCAAGGAUGAUCAUUGGAAACAGGAAGCAUCUGAACUCAAUUUUGAGUCUCUUGUUUAAAUUUUUAUUUUUAUACAUUUGCAAAAAUGUCUAAUCCUGUUUUCACUUUGUCAAUAUGGGGUAUUGUGUGUAAAUUGCUGAGGAUAUAUUUUUAUUUAAUUAUAGAAUUAGGCUUGAACAUAACAAUGUGGAAAAGUCAAGGGGUCUGAAUACUUUCCGAGGGCACUGUCAGACCCCUUCCCAUUUCUCCCAUUUUGGUACGUUACAGCCUUCUUCUAAAAUUGAUUCCAUGUUUUUCCUCGUCAAUCUACACACAAUACCCCAUAAUGACAAAGCCAAAACAGGUUUUUAGAAAGUCUUGCAAAUGCAAUUUAAAAAAAAAAUUGUUUUGCUUAUUUACAUACGUUUUCAGACCCUUUGCUAUGAGAUUAUCCUUGAGAUGUUUUUUCAACUUGGAGUCCACCUGUGGUAAAUUAAAUUGAUUGGACAUGAUUUGGACAGGCACACACCUGUCUAUGUCAGGUCCCACAUUUGACACUGCAU